RNAcentral lists this ribosomal RNA (300 nucleotides) under uncultured Gammaproteobacteria bacterium. RNAcentral describes it as "bacterial SSU rRNA". It matches the Rfam family "Bacterial small subunit ribosomal RNA", at positions 1035 to 1335 of the family's 1533-position model. Lineage: Bacteria; Pseudomonadati; Pseudomonadota; Gammaproteobacteria. The record is from RNAcentral.
CAGGUGCUGCAUGGCUGUCGUCAGCUCGUGUUGUGAAAUGUUGGGUUAAGUCCCGCAACGAGCGCAACCCUUAUCCUUUGUUGCCAGCGAUUCGGUCGGGAACUCAAAGGAGACUGCCGGUGAUAAACCGGAGGAAGGUGGGGAUGACGUCAAGUCAUCAUGGCCCUUACGAGUAGGGCUACACACGUGCUACAAUGGCGCAUACAAAGAGAAGCGACCUCGCGAGAGCAAGCGGACCUCACAAAGUGCGUCGUAGUCCGGAUCGGAGUCUGCAACUCGACUCCGUGAAGUCGGAAUCGC